UUGCCUUAGUAACGGCGAGUGAAGCGGCAAAAGCUCAAAUUUGAAAUCUGACACCUUUGGUGUUCGAGUUGUAAUUUGGAGAGGCAUCUUCUGGAGGGGCCCAGCCUAUGUGCCUUGGAACAGGACGUCAUAGAGGGUGAGAAUCCCGUACUUGACUGGAUGUUCCCUCCUGUAUGUAGUGUCUUCUACGAGUCGAGUUGUUUGGGAAUGCAGCUCAAAAUGGGUGGUAAAUUUCAUCUAAAGCUAAAUAUUGGCGAGAGACCGAUAGCGCACAAGUAGAGUGAUCGAAAGAUGAAAAGCACUUUGAAAAUAGAGUCAAACAGUACGUGAAAUUGUUGAAGGGGAAGCGCUUGGGACCUAUCCUGGCCAUUGACGUUCAUCCACGCCCUCCGGGGGGCAUUGCACUCGUCUUUGGGCCGGGCCAGCAUGGGUUGGGACGGUGGGAUAAAGGCUGGGGAAAUGUGACUCCUUUAUGGAGUGUUAUAGUCCCCGGUGGCAUGCCAUCAGUCCCGACCGAGGAUCGCGCACCGGCACGGAUGCUGGGUAAAGGUCUUCAGCGACCCGUCUUGAAACACGGACCAAGGAGUCUAACGUCUAUGCGAGUGUUUGGGCUUCAAACCCUCACGCGUAAUGAAAGUGAACGGAGGUGGGAACCCCGAAAGGGGCGCACCAUCGACCGAUCCUGAUGUCUUCGGAUGGAUUUGAGUAGGAGCAUAGCUGUUGGGACCCGAAAGAUGGUGAACUAUGCCUGAAUAGGGUGAAGCCAGAGGAAACUCUGGUGGAGGCUCGCAGCGGUUCUGACGUGCAAAUCGAUCGUCAAAUUUGGGUAUAGGGGCGAAAGACUAAUCGAACCAUCUAGUAGCUGGUCCU
This 870-nucleotide ribosomal RNA is filed under the name Tuber brennemanii. RNAcentral describes it as "LSU rRNA". It matches the Rfam family "Eukaryotic large subunit ribosomal RNA", at positions 75 to 958 of the family's 3401-position model. Lineage: Eukaryota; Fungi; Ascomycota; Pezizomycetes; Pezizales; Tuberaceae. The record is from RNAcentral.